GAUGGCUCACAAUCAGUCUGACCGGCGAACACGUUCAUCCGACCCACUGGGGAUGGGAUGAUCCCAUCCUCGUGUCGGGAUGCGGCCGCGCCCGGCGCGGCUUCCUCCCGAGAAAACACAAACCCCGGCGCCUCGUGCGCCAAGGAUCCCAAAAUUGUUCGGGGCGGCCCCGGGGGAGUUGGAGACAACGUCCCGCGGGCCCCGUCACAACACUCGAAAAGGAAUGACUCUCGGCAAUGGAUAUCUCGGCUCUUGCAUCGAUGAAGAACGUAGCGAAAUGCGAUACUUGGUGUGAAUUGCAGAAUCCCGUGAACCAUCGAGUCUUUGAACGCAAGUUGCGCCCGAAGCCAUUAGGCUGAGGGCAUGCCUGCCUGGGUGUCACACAUCGUUACCCCCACGCAAAGGUCCGCUGUCGGCCGGUGCGUGGCGUGCAUGCUGGCCUCCCGCGAGCGGCGUCUCUCGUGGUUGGUUGAAAAUCGUGUUCACGGCGGGGUGCGCGCCGCGAUGAAACGGUGGACGGGCAACGCCCGAGACCAAUCGCGCGCGAUCCUGUCCGGUGUGACCCUUGGACCCCUGCGGCGUCUCCGGAUGC
RNAcentral lists this ribosomal RNA (592 nucleotides) under Desmodium incanum. RNAcentral's name for it is "eukaryotic LSU rRNA". The stretch from base 226 to 381 matches the Rfam family "5.8S ribosomal RNA". The record is from RNAcentral. Lineage: Eukaryota; Viridiplantae; Streptophyta; Magnoliopsida; Fabales; Fabaceae.